This 253-nucleotide ribosomal RNA is filed under the name uncultured bacterium. RNAcentral's name for it is "partial 16S ribosomal RNA". It matches the Rfam family "Bacterial small subunit ribosomal RNA", at positions 524 to 776 of the family's 1533-position model. The record is from RNAcentral.
UACGUAGGUGGCAAGCGUUGUCCGGAUUUAUUGGGGUUAAAGGGUGCGUAGGCGGCCCUGUAAGUCAGUGCUGAAAUAUCCCGGCUUAACCGGGAGGGUGGCAUUGAUACUGCGGGGCUAGAGUACAGAUGAGGUAGGCGGAAUUGACGGUGUAGCGGUGAAAUGCUUAGAUAUCGUCAAGAACACCUAUAGCGAAGGCAGCUUACUAGGCUGUAACUGACGCUGAGGCACGAAAGUGUGGGGAUCAAACAGG